Molecule: ribosomal RNA, 687 nt
Filed under: Candidatus Mycoplasma haematolamae
Lineage: Bacteria; Bacillati; Mycoplasmatota; Mollicutes; Mycoplasmatales; Mycoplasmataceae
Description: bacterial SSU rRNA
Rfam family: Bacterial small subunit ribosomal RNA
Source: RNAcentral
GCAGCAGNGAGGAAUUUUUCACAAUGGGCGAAAGCCUGAUGGAGCAAUACCACGUGAACGAUGAAGGUCUUCUGAUUGUAAAGUUCUUUUAUUUAGGAAAAAAAGCAGGAUAGGAAAUGAUUCUGUCGUGAUUGUACUAAUUGAAUAAGUGACAGCUAACUAUGUGCCAGCAGCUGCGGUAAAACAUAGGUCACGAGCAUUAUCCGGAUUUAUUGGGCGUAAAGGAAGCGUAGGUGGAGGAGUUGAUCCAUUGUCAAAAGCAUCUGCUUAACAGGUGUCCGCGAUGGAUAUCGCUUCUCUAGAAUUAGUUAGGGGGUACUGGAAUUCAAUGUGUAGCGGUGGAAUGCGUAGAUAUAUUGAGGAACACCAGAGGCUAAGGCGAGUACCUGGGACAUAAUUGACACUGAGGCUUGAAAGCGUGGGGAGCAAAUGGGAUUAGAUACCCCAGUAGUCCACGCCGUAAACGAUGGGUAUUAGGUAUUUGGUUUAAAACUGAGUGCUGUAGCUAACGCGUUAAAUACCCCGCCUGGGUAGUAUAUAUGCAAAUAUGAAACUCAAAGAAAUUGACGGGGACCUGAACAAGUGGUGGAGCAUGUUGCUUAAUUCGAUAAUACACGCAAAACCUUACCAAGGCUUGUAAUCUACUGCGAAACUAUAGAAAUAUAGUGGAGGGUAUCNNNAUGACAG